CCUACGGGGGGCAGCAGUAGGGAAUAUUGCACAAUGAGGGAAACCCUGCUGCAGCGACGCCGCGUGAGCGAUGAAGUAUUUCGGUAUGUAAAGCUCUAUCAGCAGGGAAGAAGAUGACGGUACCUGACUAAGAAGCCCCGGCUAACUACGUGCCAGAAGCCGGGGUAAUACGUAGGGGGCAAGCGUUAUCCGGAUUUAAUGGGUGGAAAGGUAGCGUAGACGGCGAUGCAAGCCAGAUAUGAAAGCCCGGGGCUGCACCCCGGGACUGCAUUUGGAACUGUGUGGCUGGAGUGUCGGAGAGGCAGGCGGAAUUCCUAGUGUAGCGGUGAAAUGCGUAGAUAUUAGGAGGAACACCAGUGGCGAAGGCGGCCUGCUGGACGAUGACUGACGUUGAGGCUCGAAAGCGUGGGGAGCAAACAGGAUUAGAUACCCGAGUAGUC
This 440-nucleotide ribosomal RNA is filed under the name uncultured bacterium. RNAcentral describes it as "partial 16S ribosomal RNA". It matches the Rfam family "Bacterial small subunit ribosomal RNA", at positions 338 to 795 of the family's 1533-position model. The record is from RNAcentral.